AGGGACUUCGCAUCCUGCCAACAAAACAUACGAGUUUGUCCACAAGGAGAGGUAUGCUUUACAUCAGAAACCUUGAGUAACUAUGGAUUUUUGGUUUACAGUUCUGGUUGUGCAUCCAAACAGACCUGUGACUCUUUGAGCACAAGUAGUCUUGAAGGGCC
Molecule: long non-coding RNA, 161 nt
Organism: Saccostrea echinata
Lineage: Eukaryota; Metazoa; Mollusca; Bivalvia; Ostreida; Ostreidae
Exons: 3
Source: RefSeq, a predicted model, not a curated record